This 625-nucleotide ribosomal RNA is filed under the name uncultured bacterium. Its description in RNAcentral is "bacterial SSU rRNA". It matches the Rfam family "Bacterial small subunit ribosomal RNA", at positions 28 to 648 of the family's 1533-position model. The record is from RNAcentral.
AUUGAACGCUGGCGGCAUGCCUUACACAUGCAAGUCGAACGGCAGCACGGGAGCAAUCCUGGUGGCGAGUGGCGAACGGGUGAGUAAUGUAUCGGAACGUACCUUUCAGUGGGGGAUAACGUAGCGAAAGUUACGCUAAUACCGCAUAUUCUGUGAGCAGGAAAGCAGGGGAUCGCAAGACCUUGCGCUGAUUGAGCGGCCGAUAUCAGAUUAGCUAGUUGGUGAGGUAAAGGCUCACCAAGGCGACGAUCUGUAGCGGGUCUGAGAGGAUGAUCCGCCACACUGGAACUGAGACACGGUCCAGACUCCUACGGGAGGCAGCAGUGGGGAAUUUUGGACAAUGGGGGCAACCCUGAUCCAGCCAUGCCGCGUGAGUGAAGAAGGCCUUCGGGUUGUAAAGCUCUUUCAGCCGGGAAGAAAUCACAUGGGUUAAUACCCUGUGUGGAUGACGGUACCGGAAUAAGAAGCACCGGCUAACUACGUGCCAGCAGCCGCGGUAAUACGUGGGGUGCGAGCGUUAAUCGGAAUUACUGGGCGUAAAGCGUGCGCAGGCGGUUUGUUAAGAUAGGCGUGAAAUCCCCGGGCUCAACCUGGGAACUGCGUUUAUGACUGGCAGGCUAGAGUA